RNAcentral lists this ribosomal RNA (425 nucleotides) under uncultured bacterium. RNAcentral's name for it is "partial 16S ribosomal RNA". It matches the Rfam family "Bacterial small subunit ribosomal RNA", at positions 354 to 796 of the family's 1533-position model. The record is from RNAcentral.
GUGAGGAAUUUUGCGCAAUGGGGGCAACCCUGACGCAGCGACGCCGCGUGGAGGACGAAGUCUUUCGGGAUGUAAAUUCCUGUCAGUGGGGACGAUAAUGACGGUACCCACAGAGGAAGCACCGGCUAACUCCGUGCCAGCAGCCGCGGUAAGACGGAGGGUGCAAGCGUUGUUCGGAAUUACUGGGCGUAAAGCGUAUGUAGGCGGCAAGUUAAGUUCAAUGUUAAAGCCCACGGCUCAACCGAGGAGAUGCAUUGAAUACUGGCUAGCUAGAGGGUGUUAGAGGAAGACGGAAUUCCCAGUGUAGCGGUGAAAUGCGUAGAUAUUGGGAGGAACAUCGGUAGCGAAAGCGGUCUUCUGGGACAUACCUGACGCUGAGGUACGAAAGCGUGGGGAGCAAACGGGAUUAGAAACCCCGGUAGUCC